Molecule: non-coding RNA, 790 nt
Filed under: Nosodendron fasciculare
Lineage: Eukaryota; Metazoa; Arthropoda; Insecta; Coleoptera; Nosodendridae
Source: RNAcentral
UAAAAGUUUUAUUCUAGCUAUAAAAUUUAAUUUAAUUUUUAAUUUAUAUGUAAAUUUUAGUGUUUAUUUUGAAUUAUUUAAAUAAUAAUUUAUUAAAGUAAAAUAAAUUCGCAAUAUUAAAUAUUAAAUAUUAAAGAAAUUUAGAUUUAGAAAAAAUUAAUAAUAUUAACAUAAUUUGUGCCAGCAGUUGCGGUUAAACAGAUAAUAUAAUUAAAUUUUUUUCAGUAAAUAAUUAUUUUUUAUUAAUUAGAUUUAUUAUUAGAUUUAUUAGGUGAAAUUUUAAAUUUGAUAUAUUUUUUAAGAAAUUUAAAGAGGUUAUUAAAUUUAAUUAUUAAACUAGGAUUAGAUACCCUAUUAUAAUAAAUGUAAAUUAAUUUACUAGAGUAGUAAUUGUUAUGUUCUUGAAAUUUAAAGAUUUUGGCGGUAUUUUAGUCUUUUCAGAGGAACCUGUUCUAUAAUUGAUGUUCCACGAUUAAUUGAACUUAAUUUAUUAAUUUGUAUAUCGUCGUAGGUAGAAUAUUUUAAAAGAAUUAAAAAUAUUCAAAAUUUAAUUUGAUAAAGGAAAUCAGAUCAAGGUGCAGUUUAUAAUUAAGAAGAAAUGGGUUACAAUAAUUUUAUUUAUACGGAUUUAUGAAUGAAUAUUUAUAAUUAAGGUGGAUUUGAAAGUAAUAUUAAUUAUUUUAUUAGUAUGAUUUAAGCUCUAAAAUAUGUACAUAUCGCCCGUCGCUCUCAUAUAAAGUGAGAUAAGUCGUAACAAAGUAGAUUUACUGGAAAGUGUAUCUAGAUAGGC